AGGACGAACGCUGGCGGCGUGCCUAACACAUGCAAGUCGAGCGAAGCAUAAGGGUUAGCUUGCUAGCCUUUAUGACUGAGCGGCGAACGGGUGAGUAACCCGUGGGUAAUCUGCCUGGAAGACCGGGAUAACAGCUCGAAAGGGCUGCUAAUACCGGAUGAUACCAUCACUUACGAGGUGCUGGUCAAAGGUGCUUAGCGCUUCCAGAUGAGCCCGCGUCCCAUUAGCUAGUUGGUAGGGUAAAGGCCUACCAAGGCGACGAUGGGUAGCCGGUCUGAGAGGAUGGUCGGCCACACUGGGACUGAGACACGGCCCAGACUCCUACGGGAGGCAGCAGUGGGGAAUCUUGCGCAAUGGGGGCAACCCUGACGCAGCGACGUCGCGUGAGCGAAGAAGGCCUUCGGGUUGUAAAGCUCUGUCUAGGGGGAAGAUAGUGACGGUACCCCUGGAGGAAGCCCCGGCUAACUACGUGCCAGCAGCCGCGGU
Molecule: ribosomal RNA, 486 nt
Filed under: uncultured bacterium
Lineage: Bacteria
Description: bacterial SSU rRNA
Rfam family: Bacterial small subunit ribosomal RNA
Source: RNAcentral